CCUACGGGCGGCAGCAGUGGGGAAUAUUGGACAAUGGGCGAAAGCCUGAUCCAGCCAUGCCGCGUGUGUGAAGAAGGCCUUCGGGUUGUAAAGCACUUUCAGUGGGGAAGAAAGCCUUGGGGCUAAUACCCUCGAGGAAGGACAUCACCCACAGAAGAAGCACCGGCUAACUCCGUGCCAGCAGCCGCGGUAAUACGGAGGGUGCGAGCGUUAAUCGGAAUUACUGGGCGUAAAGCGCGCGUAGGCGGUCUGAUAAGCCGGUUGUGAAAGCCCCGGGCUCAACCUGGGAACGGCAUCCGGAACUGUCAGGCUAGAGUGCAGGUGAGGAAGGUAGAAUUCCCGGUGUAGCGGUGAAAUGCGUAGAGAUCGGGAGGAAUACCAGUGGCGAAGGCGGCCUUCUGGACUGACACUGACGCUGAGGUGCGAAAGCGUGGGUAGCAAACAGGAUUAGAUACCCCUGUAGUC
Molecule: ribosomal RNA, 465 nt
Filed under: Vreelandella stevensii
Lineage: Bacteria; Pseudomonadati; Pseudomonadota; Gammaproteobacteria; Oceanospirillales; Halomonadaceae
Description: partial 16S ribosomal RNA
Rfam family: Bacterial small subunit ribosomal RNA
Source: RNAcentral